GGCGGACCACCGCCUAAUCGCGUUGUCGCGAGCCGGGGAACCGAGUACCUGGGGUGCAGCCACUGAGUGGCCGGGCAGACUUCCCGCCCGAACCCGUCAGCUAACCCGGUCGGCGGCUGAACGGGAAGAA
Molecule: small RNA, 130 nt
Filed under: Actinoplanes derwentensis
Lineage: Bacteria; Bacillati; Actinomycetota; Actinomycetes; Micromonosporales; Micromonosporaceae
Description: c-di-AMP sequence
Rfam family: c-di-AMP riboswitch aptamer (ydaO/yuaA leader)
About the family: This family represents a conserved RNA structure found upstream of the ydaO and yuaA genes in Bacillus subtilis and related genes in other bacteria. The ydaO/yuaA element is thought to act as a genetic "off" switch for the ydaO and yuaA genes in its native state.
Source: Rfam by way of RNAcentral